RNAcentral lists this unclassified non-coding RNA (872 nucleotides) under Hevea brasiliensis (rubber tree). Lineage: Eukaryota; Viridiplantae; Streptophyta; Magnoliopsida; Malpighiales; Euphorbiaceae. The record is from RNAcentral.
UUUACGUGCUGUCUCACUCCUUGCACCUGUAAUGGGCUCAGAAAUUACAUGUUCUAAACUGCUGCCACUGCUCAUCAUCGCAUCAAAAGACAGGGUACCGAACAUUAAGUUCAAUGUGGCAAAGAUUCUGUUGUCCCUCAUUCCCAUAGUUGAUCAAUCUGUAGUGGAGAAGACCAUCCGGCCCUGUUUGGUUGAACUGAGUGAGGAUCCAGAUGUUGAUGUCCGGUUUUUUGCCAACCAAGCAAUUCAGGCAAUCUAGCACUUCAGGCUAGAUGCCUUUUAUACACACGGCUGAACUUACAAAUUAUGAGUAUGACCAUUUUGCUGGAGGCGCCAUAUUUCUGUACAUCAGGUUAGUUCCCUUUCCCUUAAUACUUCCACUGUUCUAGGGCACUUUUUACACUUAUGAGCCUGUGACUAAAAUGUAACUGCCAUUUUUGGCUUUUAAUUUUAAGUGCUUUUGCCAAUAGUGUGCUUGAUAAGCCUGUCCAUGUAUUUUUCCCCCCCAUAUUUUCUUUAUUUAAUUCCCAUUAUAAAAAUAAAAAAUGGCAUUUUUUGUUUCAAGAUUUCCAUACUGCUUGGUUUCCUUCUGCAAGACUGGUUGGAGUCCUUAAAAGGCAGGUUCGGUGGAUUUUUAGCCUCCCUGUAAAUAAGGGAGCAUGUCUUUCCAGAUUUGGCUGGAAUUUAUGUAUUUUAUAAUUGGGGAUAUAUUGGGAUUUGUGAUCUAUAUUCUCGUGAUGAAAUGGAUGAUAGUGAAAUGUAUAUCUAUGGAGUGGAGUUCAAUUGUUAUGAGAUAAUAGCUAAAACAAAAAAACUUACACAAUUCGAUUUCAGACAUUAGAUUCUUUCUAAACGGCGGUGCUUUAUGUUCC